CCGGGGCCGAUGCACGCCGGUGCUCCUUCGGGAGCUUAAAACGGGAAUGCGGUGCGGGGACCUGUCCCCAAGACCGCGGCUGUCCCUGCAACUGUGAGCGGUGAGCGCGACUGCACGUCGGUCCCCGAACAGGGAUCGACAGCCACUGGGGUUUCCCGGGAAGGCGUCAGACCCGCGCGACGACCCGCGAGCCAGGAGACCUGCCGGCGCGUGGUCGCUUCU
This 222-nucleotide non-coding RNA is filed under the name Sphingomonas sp. RNAcentral also lists the same sequence under 1 other name. Lineage: Bacteria; Pseudomonadati; Pseudomonadota; Alphaproteobacteria; Sphingomonadales; Sphingomonadaceae. The record is from RNAcentral.